This is a small nucleolar RNA of Xenopus tropicalis (tropical clawed frog), 126 nucleotides long. The record is from Ensembl. NCBI's taxonomy places the organism in Eukaryota, Metazoa, Chordata, Amphibia, Anura, Pipidae.
UUGCCCAUUCGACGCUUUCUCCUGAUGCAUCGCAGUGGCUAACACAGGGGGGUAGAUCAUGGCCUCACUAAAACACAGGGAUUGAGGGCAAACACUUCCCCCUGUAUCCUGUCGUGAGGUACACAC